This 21-nucleotide non-coding RNA is filed under the name Caenorhabditis elegans. Lineage: Eukaryota; Metazoa; Nematoda; Chromadorea; Rhabditida; Rhabditidae. The record is from RNAcentral.
UCCGACUUUCCGCAGUAUUCC